RNAcentral lists this ribosomal RNA (450 nucleotides) under uncultured bacterium. Its description in RNAcentral is "partial 16S ribosomal RNA". It matches the Rfam family "Bacterial small subunit ribosomal RNA", at positions 354 to 796 of the family's 1533-position model. The record is from RNAcentral.
GUGGGGAAUCUUCCGCAAUGGACGAAAGUCUGACGGAGCGACGCCGCGUGAGUGAAGAAGGUCUUCGGAUUGUAAAGCUCUGUUAAUCGGGACGAAAGAGCCUAGUGUGAAUAAUGCUAGGAAGUGACGGUACCGGAAUAGAAAGCCACGGCUAACUACGUGCCAGCAGCCGCGGUAAUACGUAGGUGGCAAGCGUUGUCCGGAAUUAUUGGGCGUAAAGCGCGCGCAGGCGGAUCUGCCAGUCUGUCUUAAAAGUUCGGGGCUUAACCCCGUGAUGGGAUGGAAACUACAGAUCUAGAGUAUCGGAGAGGAAAGUGGAAUUCCUAGUGUAGCGGUGAAAUGCGUAGAUAUUAGGAAGAACACCAGUGGCGAAGGCGACUUUCUGGACGAAAACUGACGCUGAGGCGCGAAAGCCAGGGGAGCGAACGGGAUUAGAAACCCGGGUAGUCC